AAUCAUACAAUGUGAUUGUCUAGAUUUUUGUUUUAGAUUCCGUCUCUCACAGUUGAAGUGUACCUAUGAUAAAAAGUACAGACCUCUACAUGCUUUGUUAUUAGGAAAACCUGCAAAAUCGGCAGUGUAUCAAAUACUUGUUCUCCCCACUGUAUAAUGCAUGUUAGAACCAGGUAUAAACGGGGCAAAUAGAGGUAAGAAGGGCUCAAGGAAAGGGUGUGAUGUGUGAGUAUGUGAGUGGGAAAGCAGGUGAGUGAGCGAGCAGGUGUUGCACGUAUGUGUUUGUACGAGUGUGUGAAACAGAAGAGGUGUGUGUGGGAAUGGUGGAGGGGGAGGUAAGGGUAGGCCAUGGUGAAGAGGUGGGUUUUUAGGCAGGACUGAAAGAUGAUGAUGGGGACUUCCAGAGCCUAGGAGCAACCCUGGAGAAGACCCUGUCACUGAAACUCUGGAGCUUGGACCUGGGGAUGACAAGGUGGCCAACUGUGGUUGAGCGGAGAGAGCAUGGGGGCUGGUAGGAGAGAAUAAGGUCAGAGAGGUAAGGGGUAGCAAGAUGGGGGGAGAGAUUUUUAGGUCAGGAGGAUCUUGUAAUUAAUGCGGUGGGAGACAGGGAGCCAGUGGAGUUCAAAGGAUGGGGGUGAUAUGCUGCCAGGGUGAUUUAGUGGGUUAGAAGACUGGCUGCCAGGGUGAUUUAGAAGACUGGCUGCCAGGGUGAUUUAGAAGACUGGCUGCCAGGGUGAUUUAGAAGACUGGCUGCCAGGGUGAUUUAGAAGACUGGCUGCCAGGGUGAUUUAGAAGACUGGCUGCCAGGGUGAUUUAGAAGACUGGCUGCCAGGGUGAUUUAGAAGACUGGCUGCCAGGGUGAUUUAGAAGACUGGCUACCAGGGUGAUUUAGAAGACUGGCUGCCAGGGUGAUUUAGAAGACUGGCUGCCAGGGUGAUUUAGAAGACUGGCUGCCAGGGUGAUUUAGAAGACGUGCUGCCAGGGUGAUUUAGAAGACUGGCUGCCAGGGUGAUUUAGAAGACUGGCUGCCAGGGUGAUUUAGAAGAAGGGCUGCCAGGGUGGGUUAGAAGACGGGCUGCCAGGGUGGGUUAGAAGACGGGCUGCCAGGGUGGGUUAGAAGACGGGCUGCCAGGGUGGGUUAGAAGACGGGCUGCCAGGGUGAUUUAGUGGGUUAGAAGACGGGCUGCCAGGGUGAUUUAGUGGGUUAGAAGACGGGCUGCCAGGGUGAUUUAGUGGGUUAGAAGACAAGCUGCCAGGGUGAUUUAGUGGGUUAGAAGACGGGCUGCCAGGGUGAUUUAGUGGGUUAGACGACGGGCUGCCAGGGUGAUUUAGUGGGUUAGAAGACGGGUUGCCAGGAUGAUUUAGUGGGUUAGAAGACGGGCUGCUGAGUUUCUAACCAUUUGGAGCUUAUCGAGGGAGUUUGUGUUAGUGCCGUGGGGGGAGUGAGUUGCAAUAGUCUGAGUAGAAGGGUGGUAGGUGUAGGUCUGAGUAGAAGGGUGGUAGGUGUAGGUCUGAGUAGAAGGGUGGUAGGUGUAGGUCUGAGUAGAAAGGUGGUAGGUGUAGGUCUGAGCAGAAGGGUCGUAGGUGUAGGUCUGAGUAGAAGGGUGGUAGGUGUAGGUCUGAGUAGAAAGGUGGUAGGUGUAGGUCUGAGCAGAAGGGUCGUAGGUGUAGGUCUGAGCAGAAGGGUGGUAGGUGUCGGUCUGAGCAGAAGGGUGGUAGGUGUAGGUCUGAGCAGAAGGGUGGUAGGUGUAGGUCUGAGUAGAAAGGUGGUAGGUGUAGGUCUGAGCAUUAAAAUGUACUUAAUUUGUAAGUGGAUUACAUCAUAAAAAAAUAAAGGUGGUGUACAACAUUUUAAAUGACGUGAAUGAUGCAUAACAAGAUGACCAUUGGAUAGAUACACAUUCACUGUGGAUGGGAGCAUUGCUGUCUGGUGGUCCCAAUUCAUCCAUUGUUUGGAAUUAUUUUCUCCAUAAGAUCUAAAACGGUCUAAUUUAGAAAGGCUUUGCAAAGACAAGUUGAACUAGCUCUAUUAGGCAGGGGUGUCAAAAUCAUUCCACAGAGAACACCUGGACAACCUAACCUAGGUGAGGGGAGUUCCUUAGUCAUUUGUAACCUUCAUUUAUCAAUUAAGGGUGGAGCAAAAACCGGCAGAAAAUCGGACCUCCCAUAGUAGGAGUUUGACCCGUGGAUUAAAGUAAUUAACCACUCAAACUAGUUUAAUCAGGUGUGUAGGUGUUGCCCAUGUAGAGGACUGCUAAUUCUUAUGUAGGUGACAUUACACUACUAUAGCUGGGACAACGUAUUUUCAUAGUAAAACAGGUUGGGCCCCAUACAGGAUAUCUCUCACACACACACUCACUUUGAUCAUCCAGAACACUGUCACAACAGGAUUACUCCUAGCCACAGGUGCUAGCCGGCAGUUCGGCCACAACUCCCCUGAAGAUAGGGACGCACACACAUUACACACGGACUCUUUAGGACAGGACAGGGACGCAUACGCUCUUACACACUGACCCCAGAAGACAGGGACGACGCACAUACAGUACACACAUAGCUGCCGAGGACACCCAGAUGAGACACCCACAGAUUGGCAGAAAGCCUAGAUUUAGAGACAAACUAGCACACACACAUAAUCUCCCUCCCAGCCGAACAUUGUGUGACUGAAGAUAGCGCACACACCAGAUCUCCUUUUCAGCUGAACAUGGUGUGACGACCAAGAACAGGCAUGGCAGGAUUCUACGAUGACGGACAGACAACAGAGCCAAUGCCGGAUGACUACACCCCAGCCUGAUCCAAUCCGAAGAUCCGAUCUCCUAGAAAUCAACCUACUUUCUGUUGUGUAUAUGAUGCUUGUACUCACUGUUAGCAAGGUUUAUUUCUGCUAGACUCUGAUGAGCUAACAGAGGGGCCCGUAUAUACGCUGUACCAGAUAUCUUCACUCUGAAUAAACCUGUCGCUUGUCGUACAAUCUAC
Molecule: long non-coding RNA, 2973 nt
Organism: Oncorhynchus keta (chum salmon)
Lineage: Eukaryota; Metazoa; Chordata; Actinopteri; Salmoniformes; Salmonidae
Exons: 2
Source: RefSeq, a predicted model, not a curated record